RNAcentral lists this ribosomal RNA (527 nucleotides) under uncultured bacterium. Its description in RNAcentral is "bacterial SSU rRNA". It matches the Rfam family "Bacterial small subunit ribosomal RNA", at positions 47 to 553 of the family's 1533-position model. The record is from RNAcentral.
CUUAACACAUGCAAGUCGAGCGAGAAAGGGGCUUCGGCUCCGAGUAAAGCGGCGGACGGGUGCGUAACACGUGGAUAAUCUGCCUCGUGGCGGGGGACAACAGUCCGAAAGGACUGCUAAUACCGCAUGUCAGGUCGGAAACUCCGGUUUCUGACGAAAAAGAGGGCGCCCGCAAGGGGCUCUCACCACGAGAUGAGUCCGCGUCCCAUCAGUUAGUUGGCGGUGUAAUAGACCACCAAGGCUUAGACGGGUAGCUGGUCUGAGAGGAUGACCAGCCACACUGGGACUGAGACACGGCCCAGACUCCUACGGGAGGCAGCAGUGGGGAAUAUUGGACAAUGGGCGAAAGCCUGAUCCAGCCAUGCCGCGUGAGUGAUGAAGGCCUUCGGGUCGUAAAGCUCUGUGGGGAGGGACGAAAAAGCGUGACCUAAUACGUCUCGCCUUGACGGUACCUCCUUAGCAAGCACCGGCUAACUCCGUGCCAGCAGCCGCGGUAAUACGGAGGGUGCAAACGUUGCUCGGAAUUA